ACUAUUCAAAAAAGGAUGCAAUGGAGAACAUUUACAGAGGACUGUGGGUAAAGCAAAGUCUUCAAGGGAAGAUAACAAAGGAUGAAACAAUGGUGUUGUGUGACUUCCUAGUGUGAAUCAUGGCAAUACAGUGAAAGACAGUGAUUUACUGCUUUUGAGGGCGUGCAUGUAUAUGAUUAACGGAUGGAAGUGCAGGACUCCAAGAUUUACUUCCUUCCCUUUCCAGCAGAAUUACCUGAGACGAGUAAAAUCUACUGGUGGAGUCACUCCAUUAUUCUUAUCUGUGGAGAUCUAGAUCUUGAUUUGAAAGUUUCUGAGAAAAUCUUCAGCUCAGACUUGAGGGUCAACUUUACCAGCUGAAGGAUCUGCAUUUACUGCUCAACCACAUCUAAUUUGAUGUCCUCUGCAGAUUUAAAAUGUGUGCCUUCUUUUCCGUCACCAAGUCAUCCCUGGGUUACUACUGAACAUCCUUCUCAAUUCCCCCCGACCCAUGGAUGGCUGUUCUCCAUUGUCUGUUUCACCAGAUGUCCUCAAAACAAACAGACAGAAGAAGGAAGUGGCUAAUGGAGCUGUGGAGUCCAAGUGUGACUGCCAAGAGGAAUCCAGCAAAGCCAAAAAGCCCAAGCAUGUAGCCCUGCCCGAAGCACGCCACACGCAUGGAAAACCCAGAGGAAAUGAGUGAGGAUCAAUGGGAAGAAGAGAGCCAGCCAGGUUCGAUGCCUUCUCCAUCCGUCAGUGAGGGUGUGGAGAGCCUGCAGGCGUGUGCCUCCCUCUGUAACUUGCUAUUCCUUGUGUAAUGUCAAGUGGAAGUGUGAAGCACCACAAACUGCUCUGAGCAGAGCCCACUUCCCUUCACCCACGGAGAGCGUGAAGCAGUUACACCAACAUCAAUCAAGGAAAACCCACAGGCUGAGCUCACACGGUUGAAGCAGCUCUGUAUUCUAAGAACCUGGAAACAAUCUUUAUUCACACUGUUAAGACGAUUGAGAAAAAUGGAUGGAUAGAGUUUAUUUGCUAAGAGAAAAACUGAGUGACUACCUAGCUACCUCACUCCUUUUUGCUCUAUUGGAAGUUGAAGAUUUGUCCAGGAGCAGAUAGCUGAAGAGAGAGAGAGAGAAGAGAGAACGGCUUACAGCUCAGGUCCUCUCUCCAUGCUUAGGAACCACUACAAAUGCUACUGCCUUGAGUCUCAUUUUGUUUCCCUCUGGAAACCACAUGUGUACCUUGUUUGCAACAGUAUGGGUAUGGAUGUUUUGG
RNAcentral lists this long non-coding RNA (1257 nucleotides) under Homo sapiens (human). Its description in RNAcentral is "cancer susceptibility 15". Lineage: Eukaryota; Metazoa; Chordata; Mammalia; Primates; Hominidae. The record is from RNAcentral.